Long non-coding RNA from Schistocerca cancellata (South American locust), 1404 nucleotides. RefSeq lists it as uncharacterized. The record is from RefSeq and is a predicted model, not a curated record. NCBI's taxonomy places the organism in Eukaryota, Metazoa, Arthropoda, Insecta, Orthoptera, Acrididae. The transcript is spliced from 6 exons.
CGGGCUCCUACUGAAUGGACUGCGCUGCGCUCACGCUGGUCAGUUGUGCUGCGCCGCGACCUCGCGCAAGACGUCCCUCCGCACGCUCGCCGCCCAGCUCGAGAAUCAAAGCUUUCAUAAGAACCUUAAGAAUAAUUUUCGGAUGCCUUUGCUGGUGAACAUGGACGAGCAGUUCACGGAUUUUACGGCAAGUGCAGUGAAUGAUGGGAAAUCAACAUGAUGAAUGAUGAGUCGGACAGGAAAAGACGCCGGAACCAAAGAAAAAAUAAUUUUCGAUAAACGUCGCAAGCAGAGACCAUAUCCAGACAGUAGAGGUGAUCGGUAUGCACGCAGGCGCAGCCUGUGUACUGUUCGGGGCUGGCGACCUCUGCAUAUCGACCGACCGCGGCGAGACAGCUAGGGCACUCGCCGUCUGCUGCCACUACCACUGCAGAUGGAAUUCGGCUGCUGGCUCGCGUGGUAUGCUGGGAUGAUCUGGACACGGACUACAUUCUGUUCGAGUUCGGGGGAGACCCUGCAGGAAAAAUACUGCUCUGUUUAACACGCCCUGCAAAUGUUAACGACGCACAUCCGCAGGAUAAAUGCGAAGGAGCCUAACCAGACUAAUUCACUGGUCCAGAGGACAGCGCGGCCACAGCUGCCGCCAGAGGGUGUCAUCACGACACCGCGGGACAAUCCCAUGGAGCCUUCGCCUCAUCCGCCUCCUCUCGUCCUACCGAUAGGCACUCGCCGCUUCUUCAUCUGGUUCAUGGAAACCGAAGAUUUUCCAGGGGACAUUUCCGCCAGAGUGCAGGCCGGAUGGCGGGGUACAGCCGGAAACUUGACAUCCCCUGCAGCCACAGCUUCCGGCCCGUCGAGGCGCCCACACUUCUGCAGCAUCCCGCCGUAGUCGCACCCAUAUACGACGACGGUCCGUCGAUUUGUGAGGGAGGAAUGUUCUGGCCUAACCACAAGCGCCGGAACGAAGACGAAGAAAGGAAGACCAGAGAAGAUGGUGAGGAAACGUCAGCCAAUAGCCGGUGACAAGGACCGAGUCGCGCCAGGUGCGCCCAUUGCAAGAAGAGAAUAUAAGCGCCGCUCCUGCCAGCCUUGGCCGCUCAGAUGGGCUCAGUGUACAGACAACAGUGGACAGGAUUCGCCGAGCAGUAUUAGUGACGUGUGUUAACUUCCAGGAACAUUACACAUAGCCAAGGACUCUAAAUUAUAUUGCAUGACGCCCCUCGUUUGUGACUACUACUUGUAAAUCACAAAGUUAAGUAUUUUCAUCUGCUCUAUACAAAUAAAACUACUAAUGUUAUUUUCUUGAAUUGCUGUAUAGCAUUCCGAGAACACUGUAUCCUCUAGGUACCCUAUAAGCGACGAGUGGGCAAGAUACAACAACAAGAACAACAACAGCGGCAGUCA